CACGGGGGGAGCAAGCGUUGUUCGGAAUUACUGGGCGUAAAGGGCGUGUAGGCGGUCUGGUAAGUGGAAUGUGAAAUGCCUCGGCUCACCCGAGGAUCGGCAUCCCAUACUGCUAGGCUUGAGUUCGGGAGAGGAUGAGGGAAUUCCAGGUGUAGCGGUGAAAUGCGUAGAUAUCUGGAGGAACACCGGUGGCGAAGGCGCUCAUCUGGCCCGAUACUGACGCUGAGGCGCGAAAGCUAGGGGAGCAAACGGG
Molecule: ribosomal RNA, 253 nt
Filed under: uncultured bacterium
Lineage: Bacteria
Description: partial 16S ribosomal RNA
Rfam family: Bacterial small subunit ribosomal RNA
Source: RNAcentral